CUAUAUAUACCCUGUAGAACCGAAUUUGUGUGAUGAAACCAGAUUCACAGAUUCGAUUCUAGGGGAGUAUAUGGU
This is a non-coding RNA of Oreochromis niloticus (Nile tilapia), 75 nucleotides long. Lineage: Eukaryota; Metazoa; Chordata; Actinopteri; Cichliformes; Cichlidae. The record is from Rfam.